ACAAAUUUAAAAUUUCAUUGUGAAUAUAAAAUUACAUUGAUUUGUAUAGAUAUAGAAUAGAUUUUUGAUGAAAUUACAAGCAUUCGAUCAUUAAACUGUAUUAACCCUAUUAACUAAACAACAUAUUAUUAUAAAAUUCUGGACAUAUUACUGAAGAGUAAUGUAUAGUAAACCUUCCUGUUUAUCCAUAAUUCUCUAAUAAUCUUGAGCAUAGAAGUCAAUAAUCUCCUUGAGAUUGAGCUGAAACAAAGAAGAACAAUCAUUAUACAUAAGCCACAACAUGUGCUCAAACAAAAUCGCAUCAACAUCCACAAAUAUCACUCUAUUUUCUCUUCUCUUCGCAUGAUGAUCAUCUUCUUCUUUAAUAUCAUUACUUGUUACUGUUUCUAUCAGAACUCGAAAAGGACUCUCUUCCAAAACAAAGGGAUCCACCAAGAACUCUCUCUUCUCUUUCCCAACCACAACUGUCACUGGCGGGUUGAAAUCCGAGAACCCAUCAUCUUUUAAAGGCCGGUAGCCUAGCCGGGACCCUGUGGAGCGCUUUCUCAAGAGUGAAACAGGCAAGACCAAGCAAUCCAUGUUCUUGAAAUGUUAAGAGACGACUGUCUCUAAAGAUAUAAGAGAAGGAAUAGCUAUAACUUACAUAGAAAAAAAGAGAGAUUGGGAAAUGAAAAGGAAGGACCGAGAGAUCAAAAAAGGGUUGACAAGUGCAGUUUGAAUUGGCCAGCUGAAAGGCUGUAUAUAAAAAGAGAGAGAGAGAGA
This 762-nucleotide unclassified non-coding RNA is filed under the name Hevea brasiliensis (rubber tree). Lineage: Eukaryota; Viridiplantae; Streptophyta; Magnoliopsida; Malpighiales; Euphorbiaceae. The record is from RNAcentral.